GCAAAUUACCCACUCCCGGCACGGGGAGGUAGUGACAAAAAUAACGAUACGGGACUCAUCCGAGGCCCCGUAAUCGGAAUGAGCACACUUUAAAUCCUUUAACGAGUAUCCAUUGGAGGGCAAGUCUGGUGCCAGCAGCCGCGGUAAUUCCAGCUCCAAUAGCGUAUAUUAAAGUUGUUGCGGUUAAAAAGCUCGUAGUCGGACUUGUGUCACACGCUGCCGGUUCACCGCCCGUCGGUGUUUAACUGGCAUGCACGUGCUGACGUCCUGCCGGUGGCCCGAGCCGGUCCGGGAGCUCUGGGUGCGGGAUUCCCUCCGGGGGGCUCGCCUCGAACCCGGUUCUUGGGGAGGGCCUACUCAUACCCCUCGCGGUGCUCUUAACCGAGUGUCUCGUUGGGCCGGCACGUUUACUUUGAACAAAUUAGAGUGCUUAAAGCAGGCAGCAUCCGCCUGAAUACUGAGUGCAUGGAAUAAUGGAAUAGGACCUCGGUUCUAUUUUGUUGGUUUUCGGAAUCCCCGAGGUAAUGAUCAAUAGGGACAGACGGGGGCAUUCGUAUUGCGACGUUAGAGGUGAAAUUCUUGGAUCGUCGCAAGACGGACCGAAGCGAAAGCAUUUGCCAAGAAUGUUUUCUCUGAUCAAGAACGAAAGUUAGAGGUUCGAAGGCGAUCAGAUACCGCCCUAGUUCUAACCAUAAACGAUGCCAGCCAGCAAUCCGCCGAAGUUCCUCCGAUGACUCGGCGGGCGGCUUCCGGGAAACCAAAGCUUUUGGGUUCCGGGGGAAGUAUGGUUGCAAAGCUGAAACUUAAAGGAAUUGACGGAAGGGCACCACCAGGAGUGGAGCCUGCGGCUUAAUUUGACUCAACACGGGAAACCUCACCAGGCCCGGACACCGGGAGGAUUGACAGAUUGAGAGCUCUUUCUUGAUUCGGUGGGUGGUGGUGCAUGGCCGUUCUUAGUUGGU
This 962-nucleotide ribosomal RNA is filed under the name Ancaudellia marshallae. RNAcentral describes it as "SSU rRNA". It matches the Rfam family "Eukaryotic small subunit ribosomal RNA", at positions 436 to 1302 of the family's 1831-position model. The record is from RNAcentral. Lineage: Eukaryota; Metazoa; Arthropoda; Insecta; Blattodea; Blaberidae.